RNAcentral lists this transfer RNA (75 nucleotides) under Acidaminococcus intestini. RNAcentral's name for it is "tRNA-Glu". It matches the Rfam family "tRNA". Rfam says of the family: Transfer RNA (tRNA) molecules are approximately 80 nucleotides in length. RNAcentral also lists the same sequence under 6 other names. The record is from RNAcentral. Lineage: Bacteria; Bacillati; Bacillota; Negativicutes; Acidaminococcales; Acidaminococcaceae.
GGCGCCAUGGUCAAGCGGCUAAGACGUUGCCCUCUCAAGGCAAAAUCACGAGUUCGAUUCUCGUUGGCGCUACCA